This 400-nucleotide ribosomal RNA is filed under the name Acinetobacter sp. RNAcentral's name for it is "bacterial SSU rRNA". It matches the Rfam family "Bacterial small subunit ribosomal RNA", at positions 267 to 658 of the family's 1533-position model. Lineage: Bacteria; Pseudomonadati; Pseudomonadota; Gammaproteobacteria; Moraxellales; Moraxellaceae. The record is from RNAcentral.
AACAAGGCGACGAUUUGUAGCGGGUUUGAGAGGAUGAUCCGCCACACUGGGACUGAGACACGGCCCAGACUCUUACGGGAGGCAGCAGUGGGGAAUAUUGGACAAUGGGCGCAAGCCUGAUCCAGCCAUGCCGCGUGUGUGAAGAAGGCCUUAUGGUUGUAAAGCACUUUAAGCGAGGAGGAGGCUACUUUAGUUAAUACCUAGAGAUAGUGGACGUUACUCGCAGAAUAAGCACCGGCUAACUCUGUGCCAGCAGCCGCGGUAAUACAGAGGGUGCAAGCGUUAAUCGGAUUUACUGGGCGUAAAGCGCGCGUAGGCGGCUAAUUAAGUCAAAUGUGAAAUCCCCGAGCUUAACUUGGGAAUUGCAUUCGAUACCUGGUAGCUAGAAGUUUAGUGGGUU